AUGGGCAGGCUGUUUUUUGGCUUUCUCCUCCAGGAUCCCACCUGGCUCUCAUCUGCUUGGGCCCACAGCUCUGUAGCAUCAUACAGACACUCAUCCUUUUGCACAGACCCUCUGUUUCCACAGGUGCUGUUUGGGGUGGAUUUGCAGCUACAAGAACCAUCUGCAGGCUCAGGCAGGGUUUGCAAGCCAUGCUCUGCGCGGUCACGGCCAGAGACUCUCAGCACUCCCCGACACGUACUGCUUUCCUGGAGCAGCCCCUUGGUGAUCAAAGAAAUUGGAAACCACUGUGCAAAAGAAAAAUACUGCCAAAGGACACGAGCCAGGAGGAGGAGCAGCACAAAGGGCACAGCAAGGGAGACCAGCAUUCACGCAAUGUCCUUGACCAUCUCAUCUCAAAUGCAGCAUCCUUCAUCUCCAACCUUCUGCCAGUGGGAUCCACAAGGGCAGAUUUUCCCAGUUGUGCAGGAAACCUGCAGGACCAAUUCCCUGCUGACCUCAACUCUUCUGCUCUCAGUGAGGUCAGACUUGACCUAGAAAAGUAGUUUCUGUUGCUGGGUUCAUGGGAUCAUGUUUUGUUUUUCAUGUCUGUGGUUUAGCUGCAAAAAUAAAGCUGUUGCAAAAUUCCUGGCUAGUCUUUCC
Molecule: long non-coding RNA, 639 nt
Filed under: Apteryx owenii (little spotted kiwi)
Lineage: Eukaryota; Metazoa; Chordata; Aves; Apterygiformes; Apterygidae
Description: lncRNA (ENSAOWG00000000765.1)
Source: RNAcentral